Molecule: non-coding RNA, 29 nt
Filed under: Homo sapiens (human)
Lineage: Eukaryota; Metazoa; Chordata; Mammalia; Primates; Hominidae
Source: RNAcentral
UGGAUACUGUGGCGAUGGGAAUCAGACGA